UGAGGAAUAUUGGUCAAUGGCCGAGAGGCUGAACCAGCCAAGUCGCGUGAGGGAUGAAGGUUCUAUGGAUCGUAAACCUCUUUUAUAAGGGAAUAAAGUGACCCACGUGUGGGUUUUUGUAUGUACCUUAUGAAUAAGGAUCGGCUAACUCCGUGCCAGCAGCCGCGGUAAUACGGAGGAUCCGAGCGUUACUUCCGGAUUUAGUUAGGGUUUAAAGGGUGCGCUAAGGCGCCCUUAAGUCAGCGGUGAAAAGUCUGUGGCUCAACCAUAGAAUUGCCGUUGAAACUGGGGGGCUUGAGUAUGUUUGAGGCAGGCGGAAUGCGUGGUGUAGCGGUGAAAAUGCUUAGAUAUCACGCAGAACCCCGAUUGCGAAGGCAGCCUGCCAAGCCAUGACUGACGCUGAUGCACGAAAAGCGUGGGGAUCAAACAGGAUUAGAUACC
Molecule: ribosomal RNA, 441 nt
Filed under: uncultured bacterium
Lineage: Bacteria
Description: bacterial SSU rRNA
Rfam family: Bacterial small subunit ribosomal RNA
Source: RNAcentral